GAUGAAGAACGCAGCGAAAUGCGAUAAGUAAUGUGAAUCGCAGAAUUCAGUGAAUCAUCGAAUCUUUGAACGCACCUUGCGCCUUUUGGUAUUCCGAAAGGCAUACCUGUUUGAGCGUCAUGAAUACCUCAAUCUCCAUCUUUUCUUCGGAUUGAUGGGUGACUUGGAUGUUGAGCCCUGCUGGUAUGCUAUAUCAGCUGGCUUUAAACUUAUUAGCCGGCUCUGUACUGGAUCGGUUUGACUCGACGUGAUAAUAUUAUCGUUGAGGAUGCAUGUCUCAUGCAGCCGGAAAGUAUCAAAGCAGCUUCUAGCUUGCCUUUAGUGCACUUUUACAUUUUAGACCUCAGAUCAGGUGGGACUACCCGCUGAACUUAAGCAUAUCAAUAAGCGGAGGA
RNAcentral lists this unclassified non-coding RNA (395 nucleotides) under soil metagenome. Its description in RNAcentral is "partial contains 5.8S ribosomal RNA, internal transcribed spacer 2, and large subunit ribosomal RNA". The stretch from base 1 to 120 matches the Rfam family "5.8S ribosomal RNA", at positions 35 to 154 of the family's 154-position model. The record is from RNAcentral.